AUGGCUCGGAGCUGUUUUGUUUUCUUCUGAAUGAAUAGUAUUUGUGGGACAGCGAAGGCUAAACUCGAUAAACUGCUUGUUCGAUUUUACUCCGCAAAUUCGUUGGUGCCGAGGCGUUUAAACCCUGCAGGUUUUGCUCUCAUUGCCUUUCUUGCAUAGUUGCAAUGGGCAUCUCUAUGGUCAAUUUUGUUUUUCAUCAUGCUGAUUAUUACCAUGGGACUUGACACUCAGUUUGGAACUUUAGGGCACAUGUUUGUCAGCUGUAUCAAUUGCAAGCACACAGAUUGCCGCUACUACCCGAUGACUUCCUGGUUUCUCAGCCCGCCACAUUUAUAGGAAUCAAGAGGACUCAAAAGAAAAGCUGUUCAGGAUAAAACAAGUUCAACCAGCAUCACAUUGAAAAGGAGGGAUCAUAGCUCCAAGCCCAACAGAACUUCUGAUCCUGCCACGUUUGCAUUCAUGACCAAUUAUUAAGUGGUAGCCGAAAUACUGCUGCAAGAAAACCAUGCGAAU
Leucoraja erinaceus (little skate) is the source of this 513-nucleotide long non-coding RNA. RefSeq lists it as uncharacterized. The transcript has 5 exons. Lineage: Eukaryota; Metazoa; Chordata; Chondrichthyes; Rajiformes; Rajidae. The record is from RefSeq and is a predicted model, not a curated record.